AUAUUUUGAAGAUGUAAACGAGCCGAGCCGACCCGGCUCACGAGCCUAAAGUUUCGGCUCGAGCUCGGCCCGGUUAAAAUGGCCGAGCUUUUUUGCGGGCUUUUCCUAGCCCGAGCUUUUGCUCGGGCUUUUCCCGGGCCGAGCCGGGUAGGCUCGUUUUCUCUUUUUAUUUUAUUUUAUUAUAAUAUAUAUAUAUUCCCUAAGCUGCUGCCUUAAAAGGUAGCGAGCAACAGCCUUUAAAAGGCAGCCCAAAUUUUAAUUUUUUUUAAAAGCUCGCGAGCUCACGGGUCGGCUAGGGCAAAGCCCGUGUCCCCAAAAUGGGGCUCGGCCCGAGCCGAGCCGGCGAGCUCGAUUGCCAUCCCUAUUUUGAAAUAUGCCCAUAAAUGUUUUUUAGAUUAUUUAUUUAGCAUACUUUGUUUAGAGUUUCAGAAGCAUGUCAACAUGGUGCGAGAAAAUUUGCAAAUAUGGUUCAAACCAAUGCUGGGAAUCCAGAAAAAGUCAUAUGCCCUUGCAAAUGUUGCAAAAACCGAUUUCACCAACAUUUUGAUAUAAUGUAUGGAUAUUUAAUCAUUAAUGGCAUGGAUCCUACGUAUAGUACCUAUGUAUUUCAUGGGAAAAAAUCGAAUGCAGAGAUGCAUUUUUUCAGGAUCACAAUAAUGUGGAAUCCGAAAAUGAUGAUAGAGAGAAAGAAGUUUCAAAUUUAUAUGACGACGUCGAAGUUCCUUUAUAUCCUAAUUGCACGAAGUAUACAAGGAUAUCUGCAAUCGUUGCCUUGUAUAAGCUUAAAGCUAUUCAUGGUAUAUCUGACAAAGGUUUUAAUGAACUUCUUGAUAUUAUCCGAGAUAUGCUACCACAUGUGAACACCCUUCCUGAUUCUUGCAAUUCACCGAAAAGGUUAUUGAACACCUUUGAUUUAGGCUAUGAGAAGAUACAUGCAUGUGUAAAUGAUUGUUGCUUGUUUAGAAAUGAUCUAGUUAAUUUGGAUACAUGUCCAAAAUAUGGAUCUUCACGGUGGAAAGUUAAUGAACGGACUAAGAAGAUUCAAAAAGGGAUAUUUGCAAAGGUUUUACGAUAUUUUCCAAUUAUACCACGAUUUAGAAGAAUGUUUAGGUCACUCGAUAACUAAUAUCAACUAAUAUGUCACUCAAUCAAGAUGGAAAAAUGCGUCAUCCAGUUGAUUCAUUAGCUUGGGAGAGAAUUGAUAAAAAAAAAAUGGCUUUGUUUUAUAUCAGAACCACGAAAUCUUAGUCUUGGCCUUUCCUCUGAUGGAUUUAAUCCCUUUCGUGACCUAAAUUCUAGGUAUAGUUGUUGGCCAGUGAUACUAGUUAUAUAUAAUCUCCCUCCUUGGAUAUGCAUGUCUAAGGAAAAUUUGUUGUUGACUUUAUUAAUUCCAAGUCCAAAGCAACCUGGAGAUGAUAUAGAUGUGUACCUAGAACCACUAAUAGAAGACAUAAAGGAGAUGUAGAAUAUUGGUGUUGAAGUAUAUGGUGGAUUUACUAAGUCUACCUUCAAUUUGAAGGCUGUGCUAAUGUAGAUAAUGGUUUUCCAGCUUAUGGGAAUUUAUUAGAAUAUCCUAUGAAAGGCGAAGUAGCAUGUCCAGUUUGUGGGUUACCCAUAUGUGCAAAAUGGUUGACAUGUAGUCGAAAGUUUUCAUACAUGGGUCAUAAAAGAUUUCUUGCAUAUAAUCAUCCAUAUCGACCGAAAGAAGCUUGGUUUGAUGGAAACAAGGAGCAUAGGCCUAGUCCUAAAAUAUUAACUGGGAAGUGAUGUGUUUAGUAAAAAAUGUUAGCAAUAAUUGGGGAAAAUAGGAAAAAAAAAAAAAAAAGAUGAGAAAAUCAUAUUCUAAUUGGCCAUGGAGAAAAAAGUCAAUAUUCUUUGAGCUACCAUAUUGGGAGGUUAGUCAUUUUAAACUAUUUUGAAUUAGUUAUUUCUCUGCUUAAACUUUUUUUUUCUAAAUUUAUAUUUUUAUUUUCAUAUAUUACUUUUGCGUCAUAAUUUGGAUGUAAUGCACAUUGAGAAGAAUGUUUGUGAAAUCAUUCUCGGCACUAUUUGGCAUAUGAAGGGAAAAUCAAAAGAUGAGCUAAAUUCUCAUAAGGAUUUACUCAAUAUCGGUAUUAGAAAGGAUCUUCAUCUAGAAUUGAAAGGAAAUACAUAUUACCUACCGGCAGCAUCAUAUAUGCUAUCCAAAAAAGAGAGAGUUAUUUUGUAAGAGGUUAUUUGAUUUAAAAUUACCUGAUGGUUAUAACUCUAACAUUUUAAAGUGUGUAUUAUUAGUGGAUAAUAGGAUUUUAAAUCUGAAGUCUCAUGAUUAUCAUGUGCUCAUACAACAGUUGUUAUCCGUUGCAUUAAGAGGAUUUUUAUCUAAUGGACCAAGAAAUUCAAUUUUUCGACUGUGUAUUUUUCAAUGAAAUAUGUCAAAGAGUCGCAGAUAAAAAUAAAUUAGAAAAGCUUGAGGAGGAUGUUGCCGUGAUUUUGUGUAUGCUAAAAAAGUAUCUUCCUCCAUCUUUUUUUGACAUAAUGAUUCAUUUAACCGUCCACCUUGGGCGUGAGGUUUGUAUUGGUGGAUUUGUACAAUAUCGUUGGAUGUAUCCAUUUGAAAGGUAAAUUACUAUUAUAUUUUUGUUAACUAUUCAAACUUUCGUCUUCUAAUUACUUAGAUAUCUCAUGCCUAUUAUAUGGUGAAAUAGGUUUAUGAAAACACUUAAAUUAUAUGUUAUAAAUCAUUCAAGACCUGAAGGAUGCAUCGCAGAGCGUUAUUUAGCCGAUGAAUGUAUGCAUUUUUGAAGUAGUUAUAUGAAACAAGCUGCUGAAGUAGGUGUUCGACAUACUCGAAAUGAGAAUUUUGAGAAUGAAACAAUUAUUGCUGGGCAUGCAAUCUCUAAAGGAAAUUCAAAGACCUUGAGUCAAGAAAUGUUAGAGGUCGCUCAUCGUUAUGUGCUAUUUAACAGCGUUGCAGUUGAGCCGUAUAACUGGAUAUUAAUUUUACAACUGGUUAUUAAUUUGUACAACUGGAUAUUAAUUUUAUAGUCUAGAGACAGAAGUUUGAAUGGUUUAGAUAACCUUUUAAAUAAGAAGUGCAAAUUGUUAUCAUGGUUUGGGGAGCUGAUAUUGUUGCAAAAGGUGAAAUCGUAUCAACAAAUCCAAAUGAUCUAGUGCAUCAUGUACCCCUCGAUAAUGAAUGUUGGAGAGUUUUGGUUAAUGAAAUGAUCAAUAAUGUCAGCUUAUAUCGUCCCAUGCUUGAGUUUUUUCUUUUUGAAGAUGCAUUAGAAAGUACAAUUGCAUUGCCAAGUAGGUACAUCGAAGUGGAUUCGCUAUAAUCACAAUGAAGGGGAUCCAUAUUUUGUGGGGUAGCUAAAUUGUUGGUCAAAGAAGUGAACUUUGAUAGGUUUAAUAAUUUUUUGUUUUAUGACGGAACCUCAAUAUCCACAAGCUUAUUAGUUGAAUGGUGAUUGGCGCAUACAAUAGUAGUCAAAAAAUUUUGAGAAUUGUUUAGAUGAAUUUUAUAUUAGCAUAUUGUAUUGAACCGUAUUCAGUAUUUCUUUUUAUUGAAACAAUAAAAAACUUGAUUAUAUAUGGAGUAAUUUUAUUUUGUUAA
Long non-coding RNA from Olea europaea var. sylvestris, 3595 nucleotides. RefSeq lists it as uncharacterized. The record is from RefSeq and is a predicted model, not a curated record. The transcript is spliced from 2 exons. NCBI's taxonomy places the organism in Eukaryota, Viridiplantae, Streptophyta, Magnoliopsida, Lamiales, Oleaceae.